RNAcentral lists this unclassified non-coding RNA (257 nucleotides) under rhizosphere metagenome. Its description in RNAcentral is "partial ribosomal RNA internal transcribed spacer region". The record is from RNAcentral.
GUAGGUGAACCUGCGGAAGGAUCAUUAUUGAAAGAAACCUCAGGCAGGGGGAGGUGGUUGUAGCUGGCCCUUAGGGGCAUGUGCACACUGUGUCUCUCUUGCUUGUUUCUUCAUUCUCUCCACUUGUGCACUGCUUGUAGGCAGCCUUGGCAUUGUUCAGGUUGUCUAUGAUUUUCUUUACAUACAUGAACACUUGUUGUACAGAAUGUGAUAACAAAAUAGUAAUACAACUUUCAACAACGGAUCUCUUGGCUCUC